This 1112-nucleotide unclassified non-coding RNA is filed under the name Hevea brasiliensis (rubber tree). Lineage: Eukaryota; Viridiplantae; Streptophyta; Magnoliopsida; Malpighiales; Euphorbiaceae. The record is from RNAcentral.
GCAUGUUAUUGCAUGAACUGCAAACCAAAAAAUCUGAUAUGUGCACCGUUUCUCGUCUCAUUCCAUUCAAAUUCAUUAUCUUCGUAGAGUUACUUAAUGUCAUACUGUUUCUUCCAUGUUUUCACACAGUUUUUAACAUGAGCUUUCACCAAGUCAAGUUGAAACUUUUAAUUCACAGCCAAUACAGGUGCUACGUAUGUGGCAGGUUUUAAUUUGUUAUCCAAUUUAUUUUUAUUGCCCACUCUUAGUCGUUCCUCGACCACAAGGAUCUUGUUGAGGCAAUGGUCCGUUUCAUUUGUCCACAUCAUGUUCUUCACUUUGUCUUUCCCCAUACCAGCUUGAAUAGGAAAGGCAUCAAUAGUCUCCGAAGCAUCAUCACAAUUCCCCAAAGUGAGACAUAACUGAUCAUAGUCCUCAAUGACUUUUGCACGAAAAAUCCUGGCAUCAAGAUGAGUCUUGACGUAGUCAUUCCAUACUGAAUUUUCUGCAACAACCAUCUUUUGUGCUCCAUCUCACUCAAAUCCUUUAUGAGCAAGAAGCUCCUAAAAUCUUAAACUGCUUCUUCCAUGUUUUUGGCCUAUUCUUGAUGUUCUCCUUAGUCAAAUGAAGCCCAAAUUUUUCAUUUAUGUUUGCAACAGUAAUCAUAUAUGCUUCAGCCUUCAAAGUUCCAUCCAUUUUGUUGCCCUUUUUGGUUGCUCAACAAGUAUCUUGGUAAGGCAACUAUCCAUUUCAUUUGUCCAUGCCAUGUAUUUCACCUUCUCUUCAGCUUGGCAACUGCUAGUCAGGUAGACCUCCACUCUGUCCCACUGGCCGAGUGACGAGCAACGGUGUUUUUGGUUGCAGUUAAGAUUUCAUAUAGCUAAUUAUCCUACAUUUUGCAGCAAUAUUCGAUUGCAGUAAAAUUAUACUCUGAAAAGUCAAAUACAUGAAAGGAAAAUGAGAAACUGAAAGGCGAAGAGAAGAAGAAGAAAACUAUUACCUGUGUUGAGGGCUUCGUUUUGCUUUUAUCUCACAAAGUGUUAGGGUUUCACCGUGAUUGUGAUCGGCGAUUGCCAAUUCCGUCGUCAGGAUCAAAUCGCCACGCUAAUUCUCCACUCUGGGUGAAAAAUUUU